RNAcentral lists this ribosomal RNA (597 nucleotides) under uncultured fungus. RNAcentral's name for it is "eukaryotic LSU rRNA". The stretch from base 219 to 372 matches the Rfam family "5.8S ribosomal RNA". The record is from RNAcentral. Lineage: Eukaryota; Fungi.
CUUGGUCAUUUAGAGGAAGUAAAAGUCGUAACAAGGUCUCCGUUGGUGAACCAGCGGAGGGAUCAUUACCGAGUUUACAACUCCCAAACCCCUGUGAACAUACCUUUAUGUUGCCUCGGCGGAUCAGCCCGCGCCCCGUAAAACGGGACGGCCCGCCGCAGGAACCACAAAACUCUGAUUUUAGUGUAACUUCUGAGUCUAAAAAACAAAUAAAUCAAAACUUUCAACAACGGAUCUCUUGGUUCUGGCAUCGAUGAAGAACGCAGCAAAAUGCGAUAAGUAAUGUGAAUUGCAGAAUUCGGUGAAUCAUCGAAUCUUUGAACGCACAUUGCGCCCGCCAGUAUUCUGGCGGGCAUGCCUGUUCGAGCGUCAUUUCAACCCUCAAGCCCCCGGGUUUGGUGUUGGGGAUCGGCGAGCCUCACGGCAAGCCGGCCCCGAAAUACAGUGGCGGUCUCGCUGCAGCUUCCAUUGCGUAGUAGUAAAACCCUCGCAACUGGUACGCGGCGCGGCCAAGCCGUUAAACCCCCAACUUCUGAAUGUUGACCUCGGAUCAGGUAGGAAUACCCGCUGAACUUAAGCAUAUCAAUAAGCGGAGAA